This 256-nucleotide ribosomal RNA is filed under the name Micromonosporaceae bacterium ISO982_OTU595. RNAcentral describes it as "partial 16S ribosomal RNA". It matches the Rfam family "Bacterial small subunit ribosomal RNA", at positions 29 to 289 of the family's 1533-position model. Lineage: Bacteria; Bacillati; Actinomycetota; Actinomycetes; Micromonosporales; Micromonosporaceae. The record is from RNAcentral.
ACGAACGCUGGCGGCGUGCUUAACACAUGCAAGUCGAGCGGAAAGGCCCUUCGGGGUACUCGAGCGGCGAACGGGUGAGUAACACGUGAGUAACCUGCCCUGGACUUUGGGAUAACCCUCGGAAACGGGGGCUAAUACCGAAUAUCUACGCAUUAUCGCAUGGUGGUGUGUGGAAAGUUUUUCGGUCUGGGAUGGACUCGCGGCCUAUCAGCUUGUUGGUGGGGUAAUGGCCUACCAAGGCGACGACGGGUAGCCG